This 406-nucleotide long non-coding RNA is filed under the name Gallus gallus (chicken). RNAcentral describes it as "lncRNA (ENSGALG00010022963.1)". The record is from RNAcentral. Lineage: Eukaryota; Metazoa; Chordata; Aves; Galliformes; Phasianidae.
CUCUUUUCUCAUGGAGCUGCCGGAUUUCUGUGUCAGUACUGUGUGUGGGAGAUGAAGUCCAGCAUCAGAGCCAGGCUAAAGAGGAGAUGGAGACCAGGAGGAUCUCUGCAUCGUAAAGGAAACACGCUGUAUGCUUCCAUACAAUACCACACCUCUAGAAGCCACACUGAAUUUAAGGAGAAACCCUUCUCUUUCCUGGGUUGCUUGCACCAAGCUGCGCAAAUCCUGAUGGCCUUAAGCACGCCAACCUGGUCCCAGUGGAGCUACUCACAUCCUGAGUUAUGCAGGAGAGUUUGCCUCCCCUGUCACUUCAUGACAAAACCAGCUGGGAACCACUGGUGUUUGCAGAUAUCUUUUGGACCAAAACUGCAAACAGGGCCCGGGGCAGCAUGACUGCAACCUCCUG